Molecule: long non-coding RNA, 421 nt
Organism: Pantherophis guttatus
Lineage: Eukaryota; Metazoa; Chordata; Lepidosauria; Squamata; Colubridae
Source: RefSeq, a predicted model, not a curated record
CAAUACAGUCUAUUUCAAUCUUUUCCAACUGGGUGCCUUUGGGAUUAUAACUCACAGAAUACCCAUGUAGUUUGAAAAUUCUUGGACUUCCAGUUCAAACACAUAAGGAAAUAUCAAGUCGGGAACAGCAGUCCUCUCUGAGAGAUACAAUCUUAGAGAGGUUGACGGUUAUCACAGAAGUCUAAUCUGUUCCUUAAGGCUACCGAAGGAGUGGAUGAUAGUUAUUUUACAAACAACUGAACUGGCAUUGAAGAGCAGAGCAUUCAGGUUGGAGAGACGGGUUGGGUGUGGCCUGCGCAUGACGCAUCCAGCCCAUGGGCUGCCAUUUUGACAGGCCUGCUCUAGAAGAUCUAACUCCAGUGAAUCUGGAAUUAUAUUAUAUGUAGUUGAAGAAUCUGAACAAUGUAAGAUCUCAGAUCUC